GAUGAACGCUGGCGGCGUGCCUAAUACAUGCAAGUCGAGCGAACGGACGAGAAGCUUGCUUUUCUGAUGUUAGCGGCGGACGGGUGAGUAACACGUGGAUAACCUACCUAUAAGACUGGGAUAACUUCGGGAAACCGGAGCUAAUACCGGAUAAUAUUUUGAACCGCAUGGUUCAAAAGUGAAAGACGGUCUUGCUGUCACUUAUAGAUGGAUCCGCGCUGCAUUAGCUAGUUGGUAAGGUAACGGCUUACCAAGGCAACGAUGCAUAGCCGACCUGAGAGGGUGAUCGGCCACACUGGAACUGAGACACGGUCCAGACUCCUACGGGAGGCAGCAGUAGGGAAUCUUCCGCAAUGGGCGAAAGCCUGACGGAGCAACGCCGCGUGAGUGAUGAAGGUCUUCGGAUCGUAAAACUCUGUUAUUAGGGAAGAACAUAUGUGUAAGUAACUGUGCACAUCUUGAUGGUACCUAAUCAGAAAGCCACGGCUAACUACGUG
RNAcentral lists this ribosomal RNA (497 nucleotides) under uncultured bacterium. RNAcentral describes it as "partial 16S ribosomal RNA". It matches the Rfam family "Bacterial small subunit ribosomal RNA", at positions 28 to 507 of the family's 1533-position model. The record is from RNAcentral.